This 206-nucleotide ribosomal RNA is filed under the name uncultured bacterium. RNAcentral describes it as "partial 16S ribosomal RNA". It matches the Rfam family "Bacterial small subunit ribosomal RNA", at positions 1285 to 1500 of the family's 1533-position model. The record is from RNAcentral.
UUCUCAUUCGGAUCGGAGUCUGCAACCCGACUCCGUGAAGCUGGAUUCGCUGUAAUCGCGCAUCAGCCAUGGCGCGGUGAAUACGUUCCCGGGCCUUGUACACACCGCCCGUCAAGCCAUGGAAGCCGGGGGCGCUUGAAGUGCGUUGCCGCAAGGCGCGCCCUAGAGCGAAACCGGUGACUGGGGCUAAGUCGUAACAAGGUACC